Molecule: RNA transcript, 1617 nt
Organism: Trichomycterus rosablanca
Lineage: Eukaryota; Metazoa; Chordata; Actinopteri; Siluriformes; Trichomycteridae
Gene name: zinc finger protein 8-like
Exons: 6
Source: RefSeq, a predicted model, not a curated record
AGGUAAAGCCAGUGAAACAAAACACUGAUAAUAUAGAAGUGUCGCUUCACUUUACAUCUGCUGGUUUGUUUCACAGCGCUGUAGAUUAAAAUGGUGGAAACCAUGGUGAGCAGCUCGCAUUUUCAGAGCCAGUUAGCGUCCAUUAUGGAGAUGUUAGCCAAGACGGCGGUGCUGGAGAUAGGGAAGCUGGUGGAGGAGAGCCAUGCUGUGUUUAAAAGAGAGCUUUCUCGGAGGAUAAGUGAAAACGAAAGUCUGAAGAAUAAGUGUGAUUUACUGGAGAGUGAGCUGAGAGCCAGCAGGAGGAGUGCUCAGAAGAUAGCCGAACUACUACAGAAUGCUAAAACUGCUGCUACCGCUGCUGCUGCUAAUAAAGAAGUUGUACAUCGGCCCACCAUCGAUGGUGUGUUUGGGAAAGAAUGGUGUAUGGACUUAUGGAAAGAGAAAGAACCUGUGGCGGCCCAGCUGAGUCAGAGCCAAGUGGACCCCUGUGUCAUAGAGUCAAUUGAUCUGAUGGAUGACGAUGGACCUGAGAUGAUUAUCAUCAAUGACGAAAUACUGAAAAAAACCUCCAGCAAACACAAGCCACAAGCAGACACAAUGAGAAACAAUGAGAAAGGACCUGCCGUGUCCAGUAUGGACAGCAGUGUGAACCAAAGCGGUGACGAUUUCAUCACCUACACAGUACCUACAGACAACAUGCCACAGAGGAGUGCUGCCGAUCCAACUAUUGACCCCAGACCAUCUACGCUCGAAGAUGCUUCGACUUCAUCGAAUAUGACAGCCGAGGAGUUCGCCCCUUUCAUGCUGUUCUUCAAUGGUCAGGACCACUACAGAGCAGGUAUUAUUUAGGUGGUGGAUUAUUCUCAGCACUGCAGUGACACUGACAUGGUGCUGGUAUGAGUGGAUCAGACACAGCAGCGCUGCUGGACUUUUUUCAAAUCAGAAUCACUUUAUUUCACCAGGGUUGUGUUGGGUCCAGUUUUGACGUAAUCUCUGGGCGCAAUUCAGUAACACUCCAUAAACAAGACGAGAACUCUAUUGCAGCCUGGUCUCAAACACAGCCAAUCAGGUCAGUCCGUAGACUGGCCAAUUGCACUCCUGAAGAUUUGAACUGUGGAUCCCAGCAGUAGUGGGUUAGCGCAGUUUACCACUGCACCACUCAAGCGCCCAGAUUUGGUCUUAUUUUUUGGGGGGGAAACUUAGUCAGUUUCUAAAUGAAGUAUUGUUUGGAUAAAGUAUGUGUUCCAAUGAUUCACUGCUGUACAUGUUUUUUACAGGUGUAUGUAAACUUUUGACUUUAGAUGUAGAAUUAAUUUUAGACACGUACACUGUGCAUUGUGCAAACUGGCACAUUAAAGUCAUAUCAAAGAACACGAAUGAAUUUUGCGCAUGGAAGUGUUUUUGUAGCAUCAGCUGUAUUAUUCAUGUAUUCGAAUUUUUACAUCAUACAUCUAUUUUUUUGCAAAUGCCAUCCAAGAGUAUAUUAGGAAUGUGUGAUAAAUUACUAUUAUUAUUUAUUAUUUUUGUAUAUCCAACGGAUGUUUGUUACUAGACUAAGUGAAGUUACUGUCAGCAACAUUUGUAUUUUAUACGUUUGUGUUUUCAUUUUACCAGGUU